Molecule: ribosomal RNA, 253 nt
Filed under: uncultured bacterium
Lineage: Bacteria
Description: partial 16S ribosomal RNA
Rfam family: Bacterial small subunit ribosomal RNA
Source: RNAcentral
UACGUAGGGUGCAAGCGUUAAUCGGAAUUACUGGGCGUAAAGCGUGCGCAGGCGGUGAUGUAAGACAGUUGUGAAAUCCCCGGGCUCAACCUGGGAACUGCAUCUGUGACUGCAUUGCUGGAGUGCGGCAGAGGGGGAUGGAAUUCCGCGUGUAGCAGUGAAAUGCGUAGAUAUGCGGAGGAACACCGAUGGCGAAGGCAAUCCCCUGGGCCAAUACUGACGCUCAUGCACGAAAGCGUGGGGAGCAAACAGG